UUGAGGGAGACGCGUGCUAUUCACGAGCCGGUUUGUCCGCAUAACAUGAAGCGGGGGUUUUACAGUGGGCUCCACAACUCCUACAUAGGAGCAAAACCAGGCGUAUAAUACAAGCCUUGUAGAUAUACUUACUACAUACGUACACACAUAUAUAUAUAUACCAAAGAGGCGGGAAAAGCUUAAACCCUAGUACCCAACCUUUGAGAAGUUGGCUUGGCUUUCUGACUUCAUUCUAUUCAAAAAAAUGGGAAUUAAGGGUUUAAUGAAGCUGUUGGCUGACAAUGCUCCAAGUGGAAUGAAGGAGCAGAAAUUCGAGAGCUAUUUCGGUCGUAAAAUAGCCAUCGACGCUAGUAUGAGCAUUUAUCAGUUCCUGAUUGUCGUUGGACGAAGCGGUACGGAAAUGCUCACUAACGAAGCUGGGGAAACUACCAGUCAUUUGGUUGGGAUGUUUUCGCGGACGAUUAGGCUUUUGGAAGCUGGAAUCAAGCCAGUUUAUGUUUUUGAUGGGAAGCCCCCUGAUUUGAAGAAACAAGAACUUGCAAAACGUUACUCUAGAAGGGAAGAUGCCACAGAUGACUUGGCUAAGGCUACAGAGAGUGGCAACAAGGAGGAUAUUGAGAAAUUCAGCAAGAGAACAGUAAAGGUUACGCCGCAACACAAUGAUGACUGCAAAAAGCUUCUCAGACUGAUGGGGGUACCUGCUGUUGAGGCUCCUUCUGAAGCAGAGGCUCAGUGUGCUGCACUUUGCAAGGCAGAAAAGGUCUAUGCUGUGGCCUCAGAAGAUAUGGAUUCCUUAACUUUUGGAGCUCCAAAGUUUCUUCGCCAUUUAAUGGAUCCUAGCUCCAAAAAGAUACCAGUGAUGGAAUUUGAUAUCUCCAAGGUAUUAGAGGGACUCGAACUUACUAUGGAUCAGUUCAUAGACUUGUGCAUUCUCUGUGGAUGUGAUUACUGUGAUAGCAUCCGAGGCAUAGGGCCCCAGACGGCUUUGAAGCUUGUACGCCAACAUGGGUCAAUGGAGAGCAUAUUAGAGAAUAUUAACAAAGAGAGAUAUCAAAUACCUGAAGAUUGGCCUUAUGAAGAGGCUAGGCGGCUCUUCAAGGAACCAUUAGUUGUUACAGAUGAUGAGCAAACUGAACUAAAAUGGGCUGCUCCUGAUGAAGAAGGGUUGGUUAACUUUCUGGUUAAGGAAAAUGGAUUCAACAUUGAUAGAGUUACGAAGGCAAUUGAAAAGAUCAAGACAGCCAAGAACAAAUCUUCUCAGGGACGGUUAGAAUCAUUCUUUAAACCAGUUAGCACAUCUGCUCCAGUUAAAAGAAAGGAAACAGCUCACACCACUGAGAAAGGAGCUGCUAGCAAGAAAUCAAAGGCUGGUGGUGGUAAGAAGAAAAAGUAGUUAGUGUCAAGUUAAAGCUUGCAGUGAAGUGAUGGUUUCGUACCUUGGUCAGGUUAGAUUCUUUGAUCUAUUUUAUUUGAUCAUUAUCUACGUUGACUUUGUCUGCAAUACAGAUUCUGAUGCCAAUUUAUAAUUUUUCCUCAAAACCAUUGUCCACUUAUCCGGCCUUUAUUGGAGUAUGAGAUGUCAACUGAAUUGAAGUGGCUAAUGUGUUAACUUUGGAUUUUUUUCUGGACUUUGAAAGUAGUUCUAGAAAUCCUUUUGGUUUCUGCACAGUAAUUUGGUGUACUUUCAAUGCACCAUGAUGACGUGCCGUUCUCAAGAUCUAGCUUAAACCAGACAGACAGGAAUUGAAGUUUGUGUUUGAAGAAAGGAACACGGGUUCCUAGUUGGAAUUUACGGAAAAGAUAAAAGAAAUGGUUGUUUUUCUUUUCCCAUAUUUGCAAGUGAAGAAAAGAAGACAAAUUGGAUCAUCUAUAUAAGUACUUCCGGACUUCAGUUAACUGUGUGUAUCAGAGGUUGAUGUGUGUUUCACUAAUUAUUAACCUGAUUUGACUUGAUGUUGGCUUAACCUUCAUUUCUUUCGUUUUUGGUCUCUUUAAGGAUACACUAACGCAUUGUGGUUUCUUUCAUCUG
This is an RNA transcript of Solanum dulcamara, 2029 nucleotides long. It is a transcript of the gene named flap endonuclease 1, with no coding region annotated. The record is from RefSeq and is a predicted model, not a curated record. The transcript has 18 exons. Lineage: Eukaryota; Viridiplantae; Streptophyta; Magnoliopsida; Solanales; Solanaceae.